CCUACGGGAGGCAGCAGUGAGGAAUAUUGGUCAAUGGACGAGAGUCUGAACCAGCCAAGUAGCGUGAAGGAUGACUGCCCUAUGGGUUGUAAACUUCUUUUAUAUGGGAAUAAAAUGUUCCACGUGUGGGAUUUUGUAUGUACCAUAUGAAUAAGGAUCGGCUAACUUCGUGCCAGCAGCCGCGGUAAUACGGAGGAUCCGAGCGUUAUCCGGAUUUAUUGGGGUUAAAGGGAGCGUAGGUGGAUUGUUAAGUCAGUUGUGAAAGUUUGCGGCUCAACCGUAAAAUUGCAGUUGAAACUGGCAGUCUUGAGUACAGUAGAGGUGGGCGGAAUUCGUGGUGUAGCGGUGAAAUGCUUAGAUAUCACGAAGAACUCCGAUUGCGAAGGCAGUUCACUGGACUGCAACUGACACUGAGGCUCGAAAGUGUGGGUAUCAAACAGGAUUAGAUACCCUUGUAGUC
This 460-nucleotide ribosomal RNA is filed under the name uncultured bacterium. RNAcentral's name for it is "partial 16S ribosomal RNA". It matches the Rfam family "Bacterial small subunit ribosomal RNA", at positions 338 to 795 of the family's 1533-position model. The record is from RNAcentral.